RNAcentral lists this transfer-messenger RNA (353 nucleotides) under Aliicoccus persicus. RNAcentral describes it as "Standard tmRNA". It matches the Rfam family "transfer-messenger RNA". From Rfam's summary of the family: Bacterial tmRNA, also known as 10Sa RNA or SsrA, is named for its dual tRNA and mRNA-like properties. Its role is to liberate the mRNA from a stalled ribosome. To accomplish this part of the tmRNA is used as a reading frame that ends in a translation stop signal. Lineage: Bacteria; Bacillati; Bacillota; Bacilli; Caryophanales; Staphylococcaceae. The record is from RNAcentral.
GGGGACGUUUUGGAUUCGACAGGGGAUGGUCGAGCAUUUUAAGCGUGUCGAAGGCGUCGGCUUCGUAAAAACGACAUCAGUUAUAAUAACUGGCAAACAAAACAAUUUAGUAGCAGCCUAAGCUAGCUACAUCAUCCCAUGUGCUCACCUGCGGCUCAUGACGAUGAUCCAAUUUAGCAGGAUACGUACACUUUCUUUCGUCUAGAGAACAGUGUAAAGAGAUCAAUUAGACUAGCAUAGAUUUCGGUUUGUUCCGUGCCACUUUCUAUGUGAAAUCUAAACGAGAACUACACACGUAGAAAGAAAUGUAACGAGUUCCUUGGACGCGGGUUCAACUCCCGCCGUCUCCAUGC